This 264-nucleotide ribosomal RNA is filed under the name uncultured bacterium. RNAcentral's name for it is "partial 16S ribosomal RNA". It matches the Rfam family "Bacterial small subunit ribosomal RNA", at positions 793 to 1055 of the family's 1533-position model. The record is from RNAcentral.
GUCCACGCCGUAAACGAUGAGCACUAGGUGUCGCGGGUAUUGACCCCUGCGGUGCCGACGCUAACGCAUUAAGUGCUCCGCCUGGGGACUACGGCCGCAAGGUUAAAACUCAAAGGAAUUGACGGGGCCCGCACAAGCGGUGGAGCAUGUGGUUCAAUUCGACGCAACGCGAAGAACCUUACCUGGGCUAGACAACGGAGGCCCGCCCCAGAGAUGGGGUUUUCCCUUCGGGGACUUCCGGUUCAGGUGCUGCAUGGCUGUCGU